This 494-nucleotide ribosomal RNA is filed under the name uncultured bacterium. RNAcentral's name for it is "bacterial SSU rRNA". It matches the Rfam family "Bacterial small subunit ribosomal RNA", at positions 17 to 507 of the family's 1533-position model. The record is from RNAcentral.
UCAUGGCUCAGAUUGAACGCUGGCGGAAUGCUUACACAUGCAAGUCGAACGGCAGCACGGGGCAACCUGGUGGCGAGUGGCGAACGGGUGAGUAAUAUAUCGGAACGUGCCCAAUCGUGGGGGAUAACGUAGCGAAAGUUACGCUAAUACCGCAUACGAUCUACGGAAUGAAAAGCGGGGGGAUCGCAAGACCUCGCGCGAAUGGAGCGGCCGAUAUCAGAUUAGGUAGUUGGUGGGGUAAAGGCUCACCAAGCCAACGAUCUGUAGCUGGCUGAGAGGACGACCAGCCACACUGGAACUGAGACACGGUCCAGACUCCUACGGGAGGCAGCAGUGGGGAAUUUUGGACAAUGGGCGCAAGCCUGAUCCAGCCAUUCCGCGUGCAGGAUGAAGGCCUUCGGGUUGUAAACUGCUUUUGUACGGAACGAAACGGUCUGCCCUAAUACGGUGGGCUAAUGACGGUACCGUAAGAAUAAGCACCGGCUAACUACGUG